ACCACUUGUGUACCAGUUGUAAUUGGCGCCACUAUGCUAACGAGGAUUGAUGCAAUACCAAAAUCGACCACGUGGACAGUAGGGUGGCGCUGUUAAAGAUAAGUCAUUGGUUGUGUUGUCUUUGUAAAGUGAUCUGGAAUUUGAGAAGUAACUUCCACUGAGGCCUUAGAUUGACAAGUUUGUGUUCCCUGUGUUUACAAAGACUGAUCUGUCAGAUAUCUGGGAUUCUUACCACAUCCUUCAAGUUUCCUGCCCCAUCAAUCAACAACAACAUGAGCCACAUCUCAGUGAGAGAUCUUCAGAACACUCCUCCAGAGAGACCCUGUGUGGAGCCGGGCCUGGAGGAGCUGAGGAGGCCGAGCAGAGACCUCAUGGCCAUCCGUCUUCAGGUGGACAAACACUUCCAGAGCAGCAACACGUCAGAGGAAUGGCAGAUGAUGGGGGAGGUCAUCGACCGCCUGCUGUUUGGCCUGUACAUCAUCUUCAUCUCUGUCAGCUUCAUCACCAUCGUGUCCAUCUGGAUCUGGAAUAACUCGUAUGCGGCGUGAUUCACAUCAGGACGACAAGAAGAGAGUUUUAUUCACUGUUGGUGUACCAGGAUCUCACACGCUGGAUCCUGAGAUGAGAAAGGAGACACCAGCAGACGAACCUCCCAAAUGGAAGCAGCAUUAGAGAUUCUGCAGUGCUUGUGGAAAAAAAGACUGAGAUGGUGGUUCCAAGGCUGGAUCAAGACACUUGAUAUCGGUCACAGUGAGUGUUUUUGCAGAUGGGGUGGCAACUUUGAGAAAAAUCUGGGAUGGCAACCUUUCAAUUAGAACUGUGUUACACCGUCAUGUUAACAGCAGUAAAUCACAACGUACAGAACCGCAGUGAUUAACAACAACGUGACGGUACAUAACAUUCUGUGUGUUAAUUCUGAGGUUCACAACAUGUUCAGAGUGCUUUGGAAAGCAAUUUUUAUUAUUCAUUUUUGCUGAGUCAAUAUUUUGUUGGAAACUGUCCUUAAAGCUUUUCACAGGUCUGCUGUUCGCUCUCACAUUCGCUGCGGUGGCUCGUGCGGUUCUAACCCGUCACCUCUUACAUUACUCACGCCUGCUGCACCUGAGGGCAUCAGAAAUAGAUUGACUGACACAAGCAAAUACAAACUCUUAAUUUGCAAGUUUUUUUUCUAUUUGCAUGUGUUUUCUUGAUUUGCAGUAUGUUGAGCUCUCAGCUGCCAUACAAAUACACCAUAUUGAUGACAGCUGGUACUGUCCAAUGGGUGCAGGUGAAACCCACAACCCUAUAAUCCUUUUUAU
This is a non-coding RNA of Paralichthys olivaceus (Japanese flounder), 1298 nucleotides long. Lineage: Eukaryota; Metazoa; Chordata; Actinopteri; Pleuronectiformes; Paralichthyidae. The record is from RefSeq and is a predicted model, not a curated record.